This 253-nucleotide ribosomal RNA is filed under the name uncultured bacterium. RNAcentral describes it as "partial 16S ribosomal RNA". It matches the Rfam family "Bacterial small subunit ribosomal RNA", at positions 524 to 776 of the family's 1533-position model. The record is from RNAcentral.
UACGUAGGUGGCAAGCGUUGUCCGGAAUUAUUGGGCGUAAAGCGCGCGCAGGCGGUCCUUUAAGUCUGAUGUGAAAGCCCACGGCUCAACCGUGGAGGGUCAUUGGAAACUGGGGGACUUGAGUGCAGAAGAGGAAAGCGGAAUUCCACGUGUAGCGGUGAAAUGCGUAGAGAUGUGGAGGAACACCAGUGGCGAAGGCGGCUUUCUGGACGGUGACUGACGCUGAGACGCGAAAGCGUGGGGAGCAAACAGG